UAUGAUCACAAUUAUUCUGCGCGUACGACCCAACGACUCGCUCAAAAAGCAAGGAAAUUUGUUUUCUAUACACCCUAAUCAGGUCCAUACCUCUCAUUAUCCCCCAGCCCAUCCAUUCCAUGGUAUUGAGAAGCAGAUAAUAGUGCCGAUAUGGACUCAUAAGCCGCAUGAGCAUUGGCCUCCAGCUCUGCCUGACUCGCCCGAUAAUCACCCCUAUAAUGAUGAGGCUGCGCAGAAUAAUGAUGAUGAUUGCCAGAAGCAUAUUGCCGGCUUGUGCCUGAUGAGCUUGGAUCUACAGGAGUGUGUAUGGGAGUCGACUUGCUGGUUGUACCAUUCGAAGAGAGAGUUGAUGCAGCGCUGUCUUCGUGAAAAGCUCUGGGAUCGAACGGCCUGAAAUUUGGAUCAUUGGGAUUACCGGGCGGAAGUGGUGGUAAAUCCAGAUUAUGGCACGGAUAACGGAACGGAGUCAAGCCGAAUGGAUAAGGUGGUCGGUUAUUAGUAGACUACAGUCGCAUACCAUCCAACUACAGCCACCGAAGCCAAAGAGUCCAUUCCUGCGGCAGCACUGUGUGAACUCUUUCUCGAGGGGCCAGCUGUAGAAGAGCCUGACCCAUGAAAGGUUUCUUUACGGCCUUGUAUGGCUGCAUGUGGUUUAAAAGGCGAAUCUAUCCUCAGUCGUUUCUGUAAUGACUCAGCGCUGGUUCUCAAGAUAAAGAGGUCAAAAAUUUCCUCACACUGUUCUCAGCAUUAUACACGUCUUCUACGUGUGGCGUUUGUCCGUCUAUACUACUAUCGCCCGUUACACCAUCUUCGCUGCCCAUUGCUCGUCUCGGCCUACCCCUGCCCCUGCGACUCGUGGUCCCAGCAUUACCAAAUUUGCUCCCGCCCUUCGCUUUCCGUUUUCCCGUUGAGGUGCCCGUUAUUGACGAUUUUCGUAAUGAGGGAUCUACGAUCGGCUCGAUCAUGAUGCUCUCUUUCCCCUGUUUUUCUGCAAACAAGUAUCAUGGAUGGCGAGAUGGAGGUGGGGCCCAGCAUAUAUUUCGUUGGCACCCCGUUAUUGGGCGCGGAACCAAAUCCCAAAGGCGGGGGUUGAUAGCCGAGAUCUGUGAGAUCGUUUCGCUUCGUUAUUCGUUUCUUUGUUCUAUUCUUCUUGACUCUAUUUUCCUUUGCAUUGUGAAAAGAACGCAGAACAAGCUGGUAUUAAAUAAUGAGCUAUACAGCUAUGCAUACACAGGCGUCUG
RNAcentral lists this small RNA (1241 nucleotides) under Cryptococcus neoformans H99. RNAcentral's name for it is "Cryptococcus neoformans var. grubii H99 hypothetical RNA". The record is from RNAcentral. Lineage: Eukaryota; Fungi; Basidiomycota; Tremellomycetes; Tremellales; Cryptococcaceae.